CAGUCAGGCUCCUGGCUAAAAUCCAGCUCUUAGCUGGUUUUAGGCCAAGCUUGUCUGUUA
Molecule: microRNA precursor, 60 nt
Organism: Mesocricetus auratus (golden hamster)
Lineage: Eukaryota; Metazoa; Chordata; Mammalia; Rodentia; Cricetidae
Source: Ensembl